UGUGGUAUUUCUGGAUCCUUACCAAGGCAAUGAUGGUAUAUGCCUUCUCUCAAGAUAUGUGGUAUUUGUGGUAUAAGGCAUAGUGACAUUGCCUUCUCUCUCACCCUACUCUAAUAAGGCUUUAUUUAUCUGGAGCUCAUAGGUGGGAGAUAAAGUAUACAUACUUACAAGACAUUUAUUGUAUAGUCAAACCAUGGAUCCAAAGAAACAAAUCAAUAAGCUAAAUCAAGAUGUGCAUGUGUGGCGAAUGAAUGGUGUAUGAUGAUGAUGGUGAUAACAAUGGUGAAAGUCUAAUUCUACUUUUGCUCUUUUGAGGGGAUACAUACCGUCCUUGCUUUUUGAAACUUUGUGAGGAGAAUGAGAUGCUCUUCUUUUUCUUUUCUCUCAGAUGGGUAUCUUGUACCUCUAAUUCUACUGUCGGACACUUGUCCAUUUUUACCUCUCGUCUUACUUUUUCUUUCUUUCGAGGUUCCGGGCACUUGCCCUUUUUUAUUUCCUCGUUUAUUAUUUUUUUAGAGCACUCAUCUCUUGAGAUAAUAUAGCAAGUGGUAGUAGUAAGAUAACUUGAGCAUUUAUUUCACAAGGGAAAACAGAAAUAUUUUUGGCUAUUCUCUCACGGAUUAGGAGUAGAAUAUUUUUGGGUGGUUCUGGAGAUGGACAUGGAUGGAUAUAUGUGGAUGGUACUUCCGGAGUAGAAGUAGCAUAUAUGAGUGAACGUGCAAGUGAAUCUUGAUUUAACCACAUGACAAGCUCCUAAGGGUCUACACAGUUUGACCACACUCAAUGCUCAUAAGCAGUAAAUAGUAAAUGUGUGGCUCAAAGUCUAGCAAGUAUGUAUAUAUGGCUGUGGUAGGAAUUUAAACUCUCAUCAUACAGGAACUCAUCAUGCAAUAUUUUAAAGAUUUUUCAAAGAUAAAAUUCUUCAGAAUUCUAGCAUCUCUAGGAACAGAUAAACAACAGCUCAACCUUCCCAUAUCAUAUCCAUUAACAACUUAGAUUUCAGAUCAAGUUUUCAUCCCACAAGUUUAGAUCUAGAGCAAGCUUUAAAUUAUAACAGUUAUGUCUAAACUUGAGAGAGAACUUCAAAUUUGCAAAUUAGGCAGAGCAACUAUUC
This 1114-nucleotide long non-coding RNA is filed under the name Sorghum bicolor (sorghum). Its description in RNAcentral is "long non-coding RNA (SBIC_LNC007175)". The record is from RNAcentral. Lineage: Eukaryota; Viridiplantae; Streptophyta; Magnoliopsida; Poales; Poaceae.